GAUGAACGCUAGCGGCAGGCCUAAUACAUGCAAGUCGGACGGGAUUCAGGAGCUUGCUUCUGAUGAGAGUGGCGCACGGGUGCGCAACACGUAUGUAACCUACCUUUAUCAGGGGGAUAGCCUCUCGAAAGAGAGAUUAAGCCCGCAUAAAAUCACAGCACAGCAUUGUGUAAUGAUCAAAUAUUUAUAGGAUAAAGAUGGGCAUGCGGAACAUUAGCUAGAUGGCGGGGUAACGGCCCACCAUGGCGACGAUGUUUAGGGGAUCUGAGAGGAUGGCCCCCCACAAUGGUAAUGAGACACGGACCAGAAUCCGAAGGGAGGCAGCAGUAAGGAAUAUUGGUCAAUGGGCGGAAGCCUGAACCAGCCAUGCCGCGUGCAGGAAGACGGCCAUACGGGUUGUAAACUGCUUUUAUACGGGAAUAAACCCAGAUACGUGUAUCUGGCUGAAUGUACUGUAAGAAUAAGGAUCGGCUAACUCCGUG
This 482-nucleotide ribosomal RNA is filed under the name uncultured bacterium. Its description in RNAcentral is "partial 16S ribosomal RNA". It matches the Rfam family "Bacterial small subunit ribosomal RNA", at positions 28 to 507 of the family's 1533-position model. The record is from RNAcentral.